RNAcentral lists this ribosomal RNA (247 nucleotides) under uncultured bacterium. Its description in RNAcentral is "partial 16S ribosomal RNA". It matches the Rfam family "Bacterial small subunit ribosomal RNA", at positions 523 to 769 of the family's 1533-position model. The record is from RNAcentral.
AAACGUAGGAGGCAAGCGUUAUCCGGAUUUACUGGGCGUAAAGCGCAUGCAGGUGGUCUCGCAAGUUGGAUGUGAAAGCUCCUGGCUUAACUGGGAGAGGUCGUUCAAAACUGCGGGACUAGAGAGUGGUAGAGGGAGGUGGAAUUCCGGGUGUAGUGGUGAAAUGCGUAGAUAUCCGGAGGAACACCAGUGGCGAAAGCGGCCUCCUGGACCACUUCUGACACUCAGACGCGAAAGCUAGGGUAGC